Molecule: non-coding RNA, 103 nt
Organism: Tricholoma furcatifolium
Lineage: Eukaryota; Fungi; Basidiomycota; Agaricomycetes; Agaricales; Tricholomataceae
Source: the annotation of a GenBank genome assembly
GAGUCGAUAGCGUAGCCGGCAACGCACCUGUCCCACAUGAUGCAUAGUGUCUUGAUGAUUUACGGUAUACAGGAGGACCCCAGUUCGACCCUGGGUCGACUCA